This 499-nucleotide ribosomal RNA is filed under the name uncultured bacterium. RNAcentral describes it as "partial 16S ribosomal RNA". It matches the Rfam family "Bacterial small subunit ribosomal RNA", at positions 899 to 1397 of the family's 1533-position model. The record is from RNAcentral.
ACUCAAAUGAAUUGACGGGGGCCCGCACAAGCGGCGGAGCAUGUUGCUUAAUUCGACGCAACGCGAAGAACCUUACCAAGGCUUGACAUCGCCGGUGCGCCCGCAGAGAUGCGGGGUCCUUUAGGGGGCCGGUGACAGGUGGUGCAUGGCUGUCGUCAGCUCGUGUCGUGAGAUGUUGGGUUAAGUCCCGCAACGAGCGCAACCCUCGUUCCAUGUUGCCAGCACGUUAUGGUGGGGACUCAUGGGAGACCGCCGGGGUCAACUCGGAGGAAGGUGGGGAUGACGUCAAGUCAUCAUGCCCCUUAUGUCUUGGGCUGCAAACAUGCUACAAUGGCCGGUACAGAGGGCAGCGAUACCGUGAGGUGGAGCGAAUCCCUUAAAGCCGGUCUCAGUUCGGAUUGGGGUCUGCAACUCGACCCCAUGAAGUCGGAGUCGCUAGUAAUCGCAGAUCAGCAACGCUGCGGUGAAUACGUUCCCGGGCCUUGUACACACCGCCCGU